RNAcentral lists this ribosomal RNA (200 nucleotides) under uncultured bacterium. Its description in RNAcentral is "partial 16S ribosomal RNA". It matches the Rfam family "Bacterial small subunit ribosomal RNA", at positions 335 to 527 of the family's 1533-position model. The record is from RNAcentral.
ACUCCUACGGGAGGCAGCAGUAGGGAAUCUUCCGCAAUGGGCGAAAGCCUGACGGAGCAACGCCGCGUGAGUGAAGAAGGCCUUCGGGUUGUAAAGCACUUUCAGCGGGGAGGAAAGGGUGUAGUUUAAUACGCUAUAUCUGUGACGUUACCUACAGAAGAAGGACCGGCUAACUCCGUGCCAGCAGCCGCGGUAAUACA